AGCUCCAAUAGCGUAUAUUAAAGUUGUUGCGGUAAAAAGCUCGUAGUUGGAUUUCUGGAGAGGCUAACCGGUCCACACAACGUGUGCGCAUCUGGCUUGGCUCCUUCAUCCUCUCGACAGACGUAUCUGCGCUUGAUUGCGUGGUGCGGAUUUCGGGACUUUUACUUUGAGGAAAUUAGAGUGUUCACGGCAGGCUAUCGCCCGAAUACAUUAGCAUGGAAUAAUACUAUAGGAUCUUGGUUCUAUUUUGUUGGUUUCUAGAAUUGAGAUAAUGAUUAAUAGGGACAAUUGGGGGCAUUCGUAUCAACACGUCAGAGGUGGAAUUCUUGGAUUGUGUUGCGACGAACUACUGCGAAAGCAUUUGCCAAGGAUGUUUUCA
This 379-nucleotide ribosomal RNA is filed under the name uncultured eukaryote. Its description in RNAcentral is "SSU rRNA". It matches the Rfam family "Eukaryotic small subunit ribosomal RNA", at positions 587 to 972 of the family's 1831-position model. The record is from RNAcentral.